Molecule: ribosomal RNA, 305 nt
Filed under: uncultured bacterium
Lineage: Bacteria
Description: bacterial SSU rRNA
Rfam family: Bacterial small subunit ribosomal RNA
Source: RNAcentral
CAAACCUACGGGGGGCAGCAGUGGGGAAUAUUGGGCAAUGGGCGCAAGCCUGACCCAGCAACGCCGCGUGAAGGAAGAAGGCUUUCGGGUUGUAAACUUCUUUUAUCAGGGACGAAACAAAUGACGGUACCUGAUGAAUAAGCCACGGCUAACUCCGUGCCAGCAGCCGCGGUAAUACGGAGGAUGCGAGCGUUAUCCGGAUUUAUUGGGUUUAAAGGGUGCGCAGGCGGCACGGCAAGCCGGCGGUCAAAUCGAGGGGCUGAACCCAGGCCAGCGGUCGGAACUGCCGGGCUAGAGUGGGGGAG